UUUUUUUUCCUUUACUCUUGCUUGUUACCUGCUUUGUUGUGUAGCGUGAGAUUCAGUGAGCUAGGCUGGGUGUGAGCGAGCGAGUGUGACUCGGUGAAUACAGGGCGGGGCGGGGAGAGAGGAACAGCUCCUGAGUCCCGGUUUGUCCUCUUAUGAAAAGCUUCAGAAGCAGAACGGCUAAUCGUUUGGGGAUUUUUUCCCAUGUAUGUAAAAUAAGGAAUAUUAUAAAAUUCAGAUUCAGAGUCAUUUGGCAGUCUUCAGAUACUGUAGUCUAUAUACUGCAAUGCUGUCCUAUGCUUGUUUGGGGAGCGGCUUAUGGUGUGGGAAAUUUUGGUAGUGUAAUCCUAUGUCUGCCUACUUGGAUGUAAACCCUGUGGAGUUCAGGAGGACUUGCUUCCAGAGACGUGUGCAGAACGGCAGCCUAAAUUUUCGAGAGAUUUUCAAGGUCUUACUCUUCCACGCCGGAAUAUGAUAGGUAUUUCUUCUGUACAGCCCAAUCAUAUGCGUGCUUUACUCAGAAGUCAGUUCUCCAUGCCACAUAUGAUUGUAGGUUUAGAAAUACUGUGGCUGAAAUCCACCACAUUUUGUAGCGACCAAGCCACACUUCCCGGGAAAUCCCGCGAGUCUGUCAACGCUCUCGCGAUGUCUCAUGAAGCCGUAGGAGUCACCGCAAAACCCGAAGCCGCCUAAUGCCCCCGCUGCCUUUCAAGAGCGCGACGUAAGCCGUGGAUGCAAGGCGGCGAACUGCGAGGGUGCAUGCGCCCCUAAUCUUAGUUUCCUUUGGGAGGUGUUUCUCAAAAGGAUGAGGCUGGUAAUACUUGAUAACUAUGACCUGGCUAGUGAAUGGGCUGCAAAGUAUAUCUGUAAUCGCAUCAUCCAGUUCAAGCCAAGUCCAAGCAGGUAUUUCAUUCUUGGCUUACCCACAGGAAGUACACCUCGGAUGCUACCAGAAACUGACAGAAUAUCACAAAAGAGGAGAUCUCUCUUACAAAUAUGUGAAGACGUUCAAUAUGGAUGAAUACGUGGGACUUCCCAGAAGUCAUCCCGAAAGCUACCAUUCUUACAUGUGGAACAAUUUUUUCAAGCAUAUUGAUAUAGACCCAAAUAAUGCUCAUAUUCUUGAUGGAAAUGCUCCAGAUCUAAAGGCAGAGUGUGAUGCAUUUAAAAAAAGAUAGAAGAAGCUGGGGGAAUAGAUCUAUUUGUUGGAGGUGAUGAUUCUAAUCACUGGUGCACACAAAGCUUUUGCCUUGUACAAGGCAAUUGAAGAGGGCGUCAAUCACAUGUGGACAGUUUCUGCUUUCCAGCAACAUCCUCACACCAUCUUUGUACGCGAUGAAGAUGCUACCUUAGAACUAAGAGUUAAAACUGUCAAGUAUUUUAAAGGUUUAGUGCACGUGCACAACAAACUUGUGGACCCGCUGUACAGUAUGAAAGAGCAAAACUGAAGGAGAAAUCCAAGCUGGACUCAUCUGGCUGCCCCCCAGCAGUGUUUUUGGGUAGCAGAUAAACUUACUGCUAUGCAGUGUGCUGAAAAACUGGCUAAAAUGGAGGCCCUUAAGUACUGUGGGGUUUUGUCUCUUCCCCCCCCCCCGGUCCAAAUGUACAUAUAUACAUUCCUGUUAGCGCUGUUACAAGUGCUAUUCUUUGCUUUCUUGUUUUGCCUGUCACAUGCUACCUGUACGCUAUGGAAACCAGUGCAACAGUUCUGACUUUAAAGGUAGCCGUACGCAAGCUGUCCACAGGAGAAGAAAAGCUUUGUGUAAACUCCAAAUAUAAAAACAAUUUCUUUUUU
This is an RNA transcript of Rhineura floridana, 1792 nucleotides long. It is a transcript of the gene named glucosamine-6-phosphate isomerase 2-like, with no coding region annotated. Lineage: Eukaryota; Metazoa; Chordata; Lepidosauria; Squamata; Rhineuridae. The record is from RefSeq and is a predicted model, not a curated record. The transcript is spliced from 6 exons.